RNAcentral lists this ribosomal RNA (427 nucleotides) under uncultured bacterium. Its description in RNAcentral is "bacterial SSU rRNA". It matches the Rfam family "Bacterial small subunit ribosomal RNA", at positions 31 to 503 of the family's 1533-position model. The record is from RNAcentral.
GUACGCUGGCGGCACGCCUAACACAUGCAAGUCGAACGAAGUAGCAAUACUUAGUGGCAGACGGGUGAGUAACAUGUAGGUAUCUACCCUUUGGCCUGGAAUAACACGAGGAAACUUGUGCUAAUACCGGAUAAGUCUUUACGGAGAAAGCUUUAUGCACCAUUGGAUGAGCCUGCACUUGAUUAGUUUGUUGGUGGGGUAAUGGCCUACCAAGACUGUGAUCAAUAGCUGAUUUGAGAUGACGAUCAGCCACACUGGGACUGAGACACGGCCCAGACUCCUACGGGAGGCUGCAGCAGGGAAUAUUGCGCAAUGAGCGAAAGCUUGACGCAGCGACACCGCGUGUGGGAUGACGGAUCUAGGUUUGUAAACCACUUUCAGGAGGGAAGAAAAUGACGGUACCUCCACAAGAAGCCCCGGCCAACUA